This 8990-nucleotide long non-coding RNA is filed under the name Olea europaea (common olive). RNAcentral describes it as "long non-coding RNA (OEUR_LNC007217)". Lineage: Eukaryota; Viridiplantae; Streptophyta; Magnoliopsida; Lamiales; Oleaceae. The record is from RNAcentral.
AGGAUUGUUUUGGCAAUGGUGGCUAAUUUUGAUUUGGAGUUUAGAGUAGCUAGAUGUGAAGACUGCUUUCCUUCAUAGUGAUUUGGAGGAACAGAUUUUCAUGGAGCAGCCAGAAGGGUUUUUGGAACCAGGAACAAAGAAUCUUGUGUGUAAAUUGAAGAAGUCUUUAUACGGGUUUAAGCAAUCUCCACGGCAAUGGUACAAGAAGUUCGACUCUCAUAUGAUUCAGAUUGGCUACAGUCGUUGUGAGUAUAAUUGUUGUGUUUACUACAGAGUUCUUGAGGAUAACUCAUAUAUUUUCUUGAUGUUGUAUGUGGACGACAUGUUAAUUGCUGCUAAGAACAUGAAUGAGGUAAACAAAUUGAAAUCUUUGUUGAGCAGUAAGUUUGAUAUGAAAGACUUGGGACCGUCUUAGAAAAUUCUUGGCAUGGAGAUCAACAGAAAUAGGAAAGUUAGAAAAUUAUGGGUAUCUCAGAAAAAUUAUUUGAACAAAGUGUUAGAGAGGUUUAGCAUGUCAGAUGUAAAAUCAGUUGCCACACCACUUGCAAAUCACUUCAGAUUGUUUAAUAAUCAGUGCCCAAAGAGUGAAGAAGAUGUUGCAGAGAUGUCAAAGGUACCUUAUGCCAGCGCAGUUGGAUGUUUGAUGUAUGCAAUGGUGUGUACUAGACCAGAUUUAGCACAUGCAGUCAGCGUGGUUAGUAAGUAUAUGGCUAAUCUUGGUAGAGAGCAUUGGAGAGCUGUAAAGUGGAUUUUUAGGUACUUGAAAGGUACAAUGGAGUUCGGGAUCAUGUUUGAGAGACGACAUGUUGAUAUUUCAGUUCAAGGAUAUGUAGAUGCAGAUUAUGCAGGGGACUUGGAUGACAGAAGGUCCCAUACAGGUUAUAUUUUCACACUCACAGGUGGGCCCAUAUGUUGGAGGUCAAUGGUGCAAUCACUUGUGGCAUUAUCUACAACUGAAGCAAAGUACAUGGCGGCAACUGAGGCAGCCAAGGAAUUAUUGUGGUUGAAAGGGCUUGUCAGGGAACUUGGAAUCAAGCAAGAUGGAAUGAAGCUGUACUGUGAUAGUCGGAGUGCCAUCUUCCUAUCUAAGAAUCAGAUUUAUCAUGCAAGAACCAAACACAUUGACGUGAGAUUUCAUAAAAUAAGAGAGUUGGUUACUUCAGAAGAGCUGUUGUUAGAGAAGGUGCAUACCUCAGAAAAUGCAGCAGACAUGAUGACAAAGCCAAUCACAAUGGAUAAGUUCAAGCACUGCUUGAACUUGAUUAAUAUCUCUAGCUGUUAGAGAUGUGUCCUAACCCAUUGGUCCUAGAUGGUGUGAUUUUUUUCAGGUUAUGUUUUUUUCCCUAAGGGGGUGAAUAUUCGCCAAGGUGGAGAUUGUUGUACAUGUGGCUUCGACCUUGCGCGGAUUUAAUUCACUGUCUGGUUGUACGGUAUAGGGGUAUUUUCUGUACGGGCCUUAAAGUUUUAUAUGGGCCCAAGCUAGGGUUAGUAUAAAUAAUACGUUGUAACCCUAUUUUUCAGAACUGAAUAAAGAAAUCUUCGUUUCGCUCUCGUGGACGUAGGCACGUCGACGAACCACGUAAAAUUCUUGUAUUCAUUUUCGUUUUCAUCUCUUUAAUAUUGCGUAUAAAAUCCAAUAAUUUUUAUAAGAGUGCUUGUGUUCUAAAUGCAAUAAACCAUUUAACAUUAAAUUUUUAAGCUAUAAUUAAGUAUCCAAGUCUGGAAUUAGAGUCAAUUUUGAUUGCUUCAAAAUAACCUAGUCCAUAGUUUCAUAAGAUCAAUAUAUAUUAUUAAACGUAUACAUUAAAUACCUUGGUAACGAAGUUCCUUCAUCAACCAAAAGCUCCAUAGCAAGCUUAAUGGAAUAAAAAACUAGAGCAUUCUGAUUGAUGGCCUUCCUAAGCCACGUGCCACCAAUACCUGUGUAACCAUCGAGAAGCACUAAGUUAAAAGCUCCGCAUCCAUUUUUCGCCAUGAGUUUCUUAAUAACGUCCUUACACUUGGGGACCCUAAUACUCUCCCGCAUGGAUAAUGCACCGUCGAUGGGUUGAAUCGAGUCACAAUAGACUCCAAUUACUAGAAUGCCCAUCAUCAUCGUCUCGAUAGCCACUUGCAUCCAGCCCCCAGGUGCAGCGCAGAGAUCAAGGACAAAUUAUUGGAGCAAAAAAUUUCGAACAAGUAAUCAAGCUAAACUAGCUUCCUGUGGCUAUAGACCUGUAAUCAUUCUCUUUCCCUAAUUGGUAAAUGCUUUUCAUCAUCUUUCCCCAUCACUAUUGGGUUUUAGAGAAGGAGAAGAAAGGUUGAGAUUUGGACUUCAGAGUUAGCUCUUGUUUAAUUCCCAUUUUGAGAGAAAGAAUGCAUUUUUAAAUAGUGUUUGAAGAAAAAUGUGUGGUUAAAAAUUAAGGAAAAAUUUUGGAUUUGUAUGUAAUAUUAUUUUACUAAAGAAUGUGUGGUUGAAAAUGAGUUUUGGAAAAAUAAAUUUUUAGAAGAAUGGUGUUCAAACAAGGGCUUAAGUAAUAUUUCUUUAGAUUAAGUUAUAAGGAAAAUUGCAGUAGCGAUCCCUAACCUUUUCAAUUUUUUCAAACUUUACCCUAACCUUCAAUUUGUACCAGCUAAGAUCCCUAACCUUUCAGAAAUAUGCACCUGAGAUCCAAAUGGAUGGAAACUGUCCAUUUGACCAUUAGUUGACAAAUAAAAUGAUUUUGCCACAUUAUUAAUUAUUUCUAUAAGGGUACCUUUCUCUCUUUCCAUAUAAAAAAAUUACAAUAAUUAAAUGAAAAAUAAAAAUCAUCAUCUUCCACAACUACCCCAUCCCCAUCUAAACCCCUACCCUUAUCCUUGCCUCAAAACCCAACCCUAGCUACCCAUCAUUGUCCUAAUCUGCCCACCGCCAUCAAUUCACAACCUCCACCACGUCUGCUACGCUCUUAUUCGUUGCCAAUUGAACCCAAAUGAGAAAUCAAAAUCGAUGCCACCACCACUUCGCCUCAAAAUUGAUGCCAUCACCACCUCUGAUUGCAAUGGUGAGCUACUCCUAUCUAUAUAUGAAAUUAAAUCAAGUUUUGACCAUCCAACAUUCUCAAGUUCAAUUUACGACUGCCAUUCCUCUACAAAUGUCAAGACAUUUCUUCUCUAAUUCUCAAAUUUCCUUAGAAUUUUGUGCGGCAGCACCAGAGCUUGGAGAAACUGCAACAACAUGAGCGCUUCUCAAACGGAGACUAUUUCAUGGUUUAACAACCAGCUUGCCAGCGAUGCUGCAGCUAAGGCCAUUGAGAAAGCUUGGACCAAGAAACAAAUUUUGCAAUUGCUGCUGCAGGAGUUGGAAUUGAGCCUAGAUUUGAAGAAUCUAGGAUGGUAUUAGGAUACUUAGCCCAGUGGCACUAUCAAUUUGGUGGAUUUCCUCUGAGUUUGUGGUAGGGGUGUCUGGUGUUUGAGGAUUGCAGGAGGAGGUGGUGGAUGUGUAGUGGUAGUGUUGGUGGUUCUUAUUUAAUUUUCAAUUUCUGCAGAUUCAUUGAUUGAGGUGGUGGCGGCUGUGAAUUUAGUGGUUGUGGCAGCAACAAACGGUGGUGGUUUUAGGCAAUGGAUUGUGGGGUGGGGUGGGGAAGGCAAUGAAUAGUUUUUUUCCUUUUAUUUUAAUUGUUUUAUAGGGUUCAAUAGCAAAGUUACCCUUUAAAUUGGUCAAAGUUCGUUAAAGUUCAAUUUUAUUGGUCAACUAACAGUCAAAUGGAUGAUUUCCAUCUAUUUGAAUGGUUUCCUCUGACAAUAACUCAUUCCACAAGCCAUAUAGCUUUGAAGUGACAUUUACCAUUUUUUGUACUUUCCAUUAAUGCCCUUUACUUUCCAUAGGCGGCUGGCACUUGUAUUUCCAAUUAGAAUCUAAGGGCAAAAUAGACAGCUUAGUUUCAACAGUAUUUUCCAAUUUGUAUCUGUUCUGACAUUUGUCUGACUUCUUAUCCUGUGUUAUCAUUCAUUAUUGUAGGGGGAAUGAGAUUUGGUCUAAAAAAAACUCAUUAAAAUGAGUACCAAAUGGCACUAGGUUUAAUAAUUCUAUAAAAUUUUAGUUUAUCAGAUAUUCUUUUGACUUUAGAUUCUUUAUUUUAGACUUGAGCCCCAUUUUAUUAUAUUAAGAAUGCAUUUUGAAAUAGUAAAUUGAUGGAGAAUGUGCGAUUGAAAAUAAUGGAGAUCAAACAAAGGUUAUAUAAAUAAGGUUUUAUUUAUGAAUAAUAUUUACAUCUCAUUAUUUUUAGUUCUUUUUGUCCUAGCUUGUGGGAUCGUGUUUCGUUGGCCUUCAUUUCAGUUUUGUGAUAAAAAUAGGUUUUUCUUUUUUGCGGUAUAAAUCUGCCUUCGUUUUUUGUCCAUUUUAGUUUCAUAUCAAAGAAAGUUAAUUUUGUUUUGUUUCUUUGUAUUUUACUGUUGGUCAUUGCUGGAAAUUGAUAUUCUUGUGUGGAUGCAUGUGAGGGAUCUUGCCUCGCUCAUAUUCGCUUCAGUUCUAUGGCACAUAGCAGGUUUAUUUUAGGUUAAAUUUAUAGAUUAAGUAUGCUGGUCCUUUUUUUUUAAUGCAUAUGUAUUAUGUCCUUCAGUUUUGACGCAGUUCCUUUAUUUUUGCCUGUCUAGGGGCUUUUUUCCACGAUUUUGUUUUAACCAUUGUACUAGAGCACAGGUAUAUCAUAUUCUAUUUUUAUUUUUAUUUUUAUUUUUUUCUAUUAGUUCAAAGACAUUUAGUAUGUUGUUGAAGAUGUUGACAUGAUUUGUGUGUUUUGUACUCAUUUUUAAGCUAAUCUUUGCACGUGCAUUGCAUGGGAUUUUUUUAAUUAUUUUUUAAUUAUUUUUUUAAGGUAAUGUUAGUGUAUUAAAUGUAUUGGAUUUUCUGUGAAUUACAUCAUGUUUCUUACAAUUAAAAAAGAAUAAAGGAGGAAAAUGAGUAACUCUAGCAUAAAAACCCUCACAAAGAGCUAAGAAAGAGAGAGCUCGUCCUCUCAGCAAACUGAACUCCCGUUUGUUUAUCAUUUUUUCAAAAAUGAGAAUAAAAAAUAUAGUCGUUAUGGGUCUCAUACAAGGGAUAGAAAUUCAAAUUCGGUGACUUGAUGUGAUGAAUAGCGAUCAUAUUUUUCAUUUUAAUGAGAAAAAAAUGGGAACAAAACAGGGGCUGAAUUAAAGAAAUUAUUUCACACGAGCGGAAAUGAAACUUUGGCAACAACAUUUUCAAAGGUAAAACAUUUUCAGAGUAGAAGAAAUGUUAUUGGAAUUUCUCAAAAAGGAAAUUAAAUCUAAGCAUUAAAUAUUGACAUAAAAGUUAUUAAGAAACUAACCCGAGUAAUACUUCAUCAUAAAAAAUUACAAUCUCAACACCAAAUGCUUCAAUCACACUCUUGGUUUCUACAUCAUUGCUUGAUCCUUUGUAUGUCCUCAGAUUUAGCGUUGCAAGUCUGCACCAAAUACAAUGGAAUACCCCAAAUUCACGCACUAUUUGAAAUUUCAUUUACUGUGUGCUACAUAAAAUAUAAUUUACAAAAUAAAAAAAAAUGAUAUAUUAUUCAUACUACUUACUUUUGAUACGUAGAACCAACAAAGAGUCUACCAGUGUUGGCGAGAUGAGCUAAUUGACUGGGUGAUCCUCUAUACCAAAUUAAUCGUUAGUAUCAACUUUCCUCGCGACCCCAAUGUCGUAACUGUUGCCAUGACAGUGCAAACAUUGCCAUCGAUGUUUAUUUUAUGAUGCCUAACUUAGUCAACUAAUUAUUGAAUACACUCAACAACAGGAUGUACCAAAUUACCAUUUUCAUUUCCCAAAAUGGAAUGAUUCUUUCACUUCCUGUUAAAUCAAAGAAAUCUAAAUGUAAACCACAAAAUUUAUGAAAGAUCACAAUAAAAUUGCAACACAAAUAUGACUCAUAUACUGGACUCUAGCUGCAUCUUUUACAAUUUUACCUGUUUCUUAAAACCCAAGCCGAACUUGAUUGAGUGACCCAAAUAAUCCAACAACCCCUUCAAACCCUAGCCCAACACACCACUUUAAUUUGAUAUGCUCAUUAUGUACAAAUAAUCUAACAGGAACUGUCACUCUUUUGGUUUUCAUUCUGAUCACAUCUCUGUCAUCCCCCAAGAACAUAAAGUCCAUCUUUGAGCCAUAUUCCAAGAAAAAAUGCAUUAUUCAUGUCAAAUCAAUGGAAAAUGUGUGAUUAAAAAAUAAGGAAAUGUUUUAGAUUUGCAUGUAAUAUUAUUUUAUUGAAAAAUGUGUGGUUGAAAUGAUGUCAAAUAAUUGUUGAAGAAUGUAUUUUUUUAAAAAUAAUGUGGCUCAAACAAGUCCAAAAUUAGGAAAACCCAACACUUCUGAAAAGCAGAUUCAUCAGAUUUAAUUUUUAUCUCAUUUCUAAAAUGUCACUUGAUUCACCAUUUCAAGAGCUUACCAUCCUAAACAAUCGGGAUCUUUGUGGUGUCAGACUCUCAACAUACAGGGUAAGUUUGCAAUGAAAGGGAACUCCAAUAGAUUUAACGUUCAAGGCCAUGGUAAAGCAAACAUUAUAAACAUUGGUAACCUAGCUAGUAGCAAAGAACACCUGUCUUUUAAUAUUCCUAACAAAAAUACUUGAAUUUUAAAAGUAAACAAACCAAUCCUUCCCAUAUAACACUGGGAGAAGUUUAAAAAAAUAAAGCCCACUAAAAUUCAAGCAGAAUGCCAUAACGAUUGUACCAAAUGUACUCUAUCCACCCAAAAUAUGGUAAAAACAAGUAACUUGAGUACCCCAAUAAGCAUUGUCAUUCUAGUUAAUUAAUCUUUGCCCUCGAGAAGUCUAUUCCAGGUGCUGCAAAUUUACAUAGGUAAAAUCAGUAUCCGCAUAAUCGAACAUGGAAUGCCUAUAAAAUGCAAAGGCAACAAGAAAAGAACUGGGAAUAAGGGUCAUUCACUGUAAAAGUAUUUGUUAUUGAAAUUGAAGUAACGUUACUACAACUCUUCAUUAGUUUAUAACAAAUACUUUGUCCUUUUUAUUGAAACUUAUUUUCAUAUACAAAUAAUUAUAUUGGACAUUUAUCUACCUGUAUCCAGACAAAUUUAUAAGAGAGCCGACAAAAAAUCACUCUCACAACUAAAAAUCAACUUUUCACUUGCGGAUAAUUACCGAUUGGUAAAAGUAUUAGACUUUUAAUUUCGAAAAUCACGAAAGAAAUUUCCGUUGGUAAUUGUGGUAGUUUUUUAUCAAUGGAUAUUCCAUGCCUACUGUUGUUAAGUACACUUACUAUUUACCAACAGCAUUUUCGUGGAUGAUGUCAUUCAACUAUUUUUUCUAAAAACUAUGUCAACCUUCCAUCUAUGAAUUUUUUGUGGGUGAAGAGAAAUUUAUAUUACCAACAUAAUUGUUAUUGUUAAUAUUAAUCAAUUUUAAUAAUUAAAAAAUUCAAACACCCUCCUACGAAAUAUCUGUAGGUAUAGGGUAAUUAAUUUUUUUAAAAAGAGAAAAUUCAACCUCUUCACCAGCAAAAAUUUCAUAGGUGAAGAAUAAUUCAUAUUACCUACUAAAAAUCUGUUGAUGAUAUUAAUUAAUUCUAAUAUUUAAAAAAAUCAAUUAUUCACCUACUAAAUAUACAUAGUUGAGGGGUACUAAAAUAUAAAUAAUUAUUUAUACAAUAGUUUUUUUUUUUUUAUAUGACCAUUGGUGUCCGGACCAACUUACGCGUACCUCGCCUAAUCCCACGGGCCUUGAAAUUUACAACCGAAUACUCACCUCAGUCGCCUUAAGAGGACUCGAACUGAUAACCAUUGGGAAGCAAACCCAAAACCGACUAUUGAGUUACAAUAGUAUAAUACACUACAGCCAAAUUAAAGGUACAAUACACUAUAGUCCAACUAAAGGAAUUUUUAUCCCACACUGAAAGUUCAUAACAAAAUCUUUGGAAGUGCCCUCUAUAAAUUAGUGGUGCAAUAAUUGAUUAAACAACUUUUUGGACCUUUCAAUUUAGUUGGCUAAAAGUUAAAAAAUUCAUAAUUAUUAAACAAUAAUAACAAUAAUAAAAAUUUAUACCACGCUUCGCACCUAUGUGACUAUUUAUGACACUGAUUUUUACUUAUUGUAAUAGUAGAUGUUUGCCAAUGGAAAGUCGGUAGGUAAUGAUUAAGAUUUUUACCAGUUAAAAUUUUCAUUGGUAAAAGGUUCACACUUAACCAAAACCCUCAAAUUAACAAUGAAUUUUUGGCUACUAAUAUCCCGUUAGUAAAGAGUAAUAGCAACGGAUAUCGUGGUUUAGAAACAAAAAAAUCGUGCUUGAGCCCCUUUUUUGGAGUGUCCCUUUCUUUUGAUGGAACGCAAAUUUGAGGUUCUGUAGAGAUUUGAUCAAUGAGAUAGGUCAUUGGUCGAUGGAUUUNUGGUAGAGAGCAUUGGAGAGCUGUAAAGUGGAUUUUUAGGUACUUGAAAGGUACAAUGGAGUGCGGGAUCAUGUUUGAGAGACGACAUGGUGAUAUUUCAGUUCAAGGAUAUGUAGAUGCAGAUUAUGCAGGGGAUUUGGAUGACAGAAGGUCCCAUACAGGUUAUAUUUUCACACUCGCAGGUGGGCCCAUAUGUUGGAGGUCAAUGGUGCAAUCACUUGUGGCAUUAUCUACAACUGAAGCAGAGUACAUGGCGGCAACUGAGGCAGCCAAGGAAUUAUUGUGGUUGAAAGGGCUUGUCAGGGAACUUGGAAUCAAGUAAGAAGGAAUGAAGCUGUACUGUGAUAGUAGGAGUGCCAUCUUCCUAUCUAAGAAUCAGAUUUAUCAUGCAAGAACCAAACACAUUGACGUGAGAUUUCAUAAGAUAAGAGAGUUGGUUACUUCAGAAGAGCUGUUGUUAGAGAAGGUGCAUACCUCAGAAAAUGCAGCAGACAUGAUGACAAAGCCAAUCACAAUGGAUAAGUUCAAGCACUGCUUGAACUUGAUUAACAUCUCUAGCUGUUAGAGAUGUGUCCUAACCCAUUGGUCCUAGAUGGUGUGAUAUUUUUCAGGUUAUGUUUUUUUCCCUAAG